UGGGGAAUUUUGGACAAUGGGGGAAACCCUGAUCCAGCCAUCCCGCGUGUGCGAUGAAGGCCUUCGGGUUGUAAAGCACUUUUGGCAGGAAAGAAACGUCAUGGGUUAAUACCCCGUGAAACUGACGGUACCUGCAGAAUAAGCACCGGCUAACUACGUGCCAGCAGCCGCGGUAAUACGUAGGGUGCAAGCGUUAAUCGGAAUUACUGGGCGUAAAGCGUGCGCAGGCGGUUCGGAAAGAAAGAUGUGAAAUCCAAGAGCUCAACUUUGGAACUGCAUUUUUAACUACCGAGCUAGAGUGUGUCAGAGGGAGGUGGAAUUCCGCGUGUAGCAGUGAAAUGCGUAGAUAUGCGGAGGAACACCGAUGGCGAAGGCAGCCUCCUGGGAUAACACUGACGCUCAUGCACGAAAGCGUGGGGAGCAAACAGG
This 429-nucleotide ribosomal RNA is filed under the name Acidobacteriota bacterium. Its description in RNAcentral is "Acidobacteria bacterium partial 16S ribosomal RNA". It matches the Rfam family "Bacterial small subunit ribosomal RNA", at positions 355 to 776 of the family's 1533-position model. Lineage: Bacteria; Pseudomonadati; Acidobacteriota. The record is from RNAcentral.